ACUGCUCAGUAACACGUGGACAACCUGCCCUUAGGUUGGGUGUAAACCCGGGAAACUGGGUAUAAUACCCGAUAGGUCUCGAUUGCUGGAAUGCAUCGAGAUUUAAAGCUCCGGCGCCUAAGGAUGGGUCUGCGGCCUAUCAGGUAGUAGUGGGUGUAGCGUACCUACUAGCCUACGACGGGUACGGGUUGUGAGAGCAAGAGCCCGGAGAUGGAUUCUGAGACACGAAUCCAGGCCCUACGGGGUGCAGCAGGCGCGAAAACUUUACAAUGCUGGCAACAGCGAUAAGGGAACCUCGAGUGCCAGGUUACAAAUCUGGCUGUCGAGAUGCCUAAAAAGCAUUUCAUAGCAAGGGCCGGGCAAGACCGGUGCCAGCCGCCGCGGUAACACCGGCGGCUCGAGUGGUAACCGUUAUUAUUGGGUCUAAAGGGUCUGUAGCCGGCCGGAUAAGUCUCUUGAGAAAUCUGGCAGCUUAACUGUCAGGCUUUCAGGAGAUACUGUCUGGCUCGAGGCCGGGAGAGGUGAGAGGUACUUCAGGGGUAGGGGUGAAAUCUUGUAAUCCUUGAAGGACCACCAGUGGCGAAGGCGUCUCACCAGAACGGACCUGACGGCAAGGGACGAAAGCUAGGGGCACGAACCGGAUUAGAUACCCGGGUAGUCCUAGCCGUAAACGAUACUCGCUAGGUGUCGGCCACGGUGCGACCGUUGUCGGUGCCGUAGGGAAGCCGUGAAGCGAGCCACCUGGGAAGUACGGCCGCAAGGCUGAAACUUAAAGGAAUUGGCGGGGGAGCAC
RNAcentral lists this ribosomal RNA (793 nucleotides) under uncultured archaeon. RNAcentral's name for it is "bacterial SSU rRNA". It matches the Rfam family "Archaeal small subunit ribosomal RNA", at positions 85 to 879 of the family's 1478-position model. The record is from RNAcentral.